UAGAACAUGUUCUUGCAACUGUUUCCACAGUACCGUAAAGAAGUUUUACCGCCGCAAACCAGCGUAGAUCUUCUCCAGACACAAAUUAAAUUCGACCAUCUCGUGUGAUUCAUUGUGACCAUUUAAAAAUGAAUCGCCAGCAAUAACAUUCCUGCUCAGCUUAUUCACUAGGCGUAUGUUUGCUUCCGCCGUCCGCAGGACUUUUGCAUUGCCAAAUACCUAAAACAAAUCAUUUCCAGAAGUUAGUUCCCCUUUCCUGACUAUUUGGAUCCAAUCUUACUUAUCACUUAGUGAUGAUAGUUGCAUUGCUGAGCUUCAUUUAUCCUCGUAAGUUUUAUUUUAAAGUCAAUUAUUGUCGGUCGAAGAAGCGCUGGUAAACCACGUGAAAUCAAUUUUACUUUUUUUCCUUUCUUUUCUUCAGUAUCUGUGCACCGACCGAAGCCGGCCGGCGGAGUGAAACGAAAAGAACUGUCAGAAUUUAAAGAAAAAUGGAAUCAGCAUAAAAGCAUAAAAAUGAUUGUUACUCUGGGGGUCGAUCUGCAAAGUCAAAUAUUAUAUUCCUUACCCACAUAUGGUUUACGUUUGGGAUUGUUUGAGAUUGAGUUUGAAAGUGAACGCUAUAAACUGCCCAUUUGAUUUACUGUCUAUUUCCUGAUCAUAGGGACGGACUAGGGAUCCUACAUUCAGAGAUAUGCGAAAGCGGCCAUCUUGAGCCAAUCGAGCAUUGAGAACUGUCAAAAUCUGAGCCAAAUGAACAUCGUUAUUGUUGCAGAUCGAAAGGUAUUGCGAUUUUGGUGAAAUAGAUUUUAUGAAAAGUUUGAUCGAAUAAACAAUUAGUUUUGCUUUCGUAAGUAAAAGUAGUCUAGUUGAUGCCUUAUAUCGUGUUCAUUCGUAUUGCUCUUGAAUUUGAGCGAAAAUGCAUUGCUAGAGCAUAGAUAAAAUAAUCAAAAACUGUCUUCGAAUGUAAAGUCAUGUGCAAGCCUAAACAUUUUUCAGUGCGGCAAGUGCUGGCAGCGUUUGUUUACGAAAGUAACAGCGUUGCUAAAUCGUCUGGAAAAGUAUUCGCACAUCUCUUAAUAUAGGAUCCCUAGGACGGACAACAAAUUAAGCUGCAUGAAGAACCAUUCGAACACGGAGAAAAUGAAAGCAGCAGAAUCCACGAGGUAGCGUAAUGCAGCUUCCAACAUGGAUGACCAAAGACUUGGAGACCAAAAACGGUGGUACUUCGCGGAAAGGUACCGGUCACGUACUUCCGUCGGAGACACACGAACAAGAAUGCAGCUACCAUCGUGUUGAGCACCCGUAUCUGAUCCACUGAGAAUGGGAGUGAUUGUGAGAUUUUCGUCUGUGUAUUUACGGAUCCGAACGUCUAACCUGGAAGCAGCUUUAACCCAAGUUUCGAGACAAACUAUACAUCCGGUAGCAUGAGGUGGGUGAUGGUGGACUUGUCGGACAGAAUUAUGACCAUCUUCAAUCAAUGUCCAGCUUGGAUUUUCAUCCUCUCACAAUG
Long non-coding RNA from Armigeres subalbatus, 1510 nucleotides. RefSeq lists it as uncharacterized. The record is from RefSeq and is a predicted model, not a curated record. The transcript has 3 exons. NCBI's taxonomy places the organism in Eukaryota, Metazoa, Arthropoda, Insecta, Diptera, Culicidae.